Molecule: long non-coding RNA, 652 nt
Organism: Leopardus geoffroyi (Geoffroy's cat)
Lineage: Eukaryota; Metazoa; Chordata; Mammalia; Carnivora; Felidae
Exons: 4
Source: RefSeq, a predicted model, not a curated record
UCGGGGCGGAUCACCUAACCAAACUGCUAUUUCAACGUCCCGCAGAAAGGUCAGGAAAUGUCUGGUCGCCAGGGAGGUGAUCUGUCACACGGGCCCUCGCCAUCUCCCGAAGGAAGAUGAGAUCUGAAUAUUAAAUAUCGAAGGUAUGUGACGGAGUGGCACAACACAAACGAGUCUGUGGAGCGAGACCGACACUCAGAGAAAGGAGCCAGCUGCCAUGUGAAAAGCCCAACUACACGGAGAUCGACGUGCUGUGAAGCAGCCGGAGCCAGCAGUGUGGACAGAUCAUAGGGAGGAGAGCCAAGACACCUGGCUGGUGCCCCCAGCCCGUCAGCCAACGGAAUGCAGACACACAAACAGCUCCAGUGUUUUAGGUAACAAGCAAAAACUGGAAACAAGCCGGAUGUUCAUCACGAGAGGAAGGGACAAGCAGCUGACGGCGCGUCCAUAUAAUAGAACGGUGCUCCGCAGAGACCUGAGACGCAACAGCGUGCAACAGCAUGGCUGGAUCCCCGAAUGAACACGCCGAGUAAAAGAAGUUGGACACACACACAGAAAGAGCACUUCACGUGUAGAUUUCAUUUGCCUAAAAUGCUAGAGACUGCAAAUUAAUCUCUAAUGACAGCAAGCAGAUCAGCGAUUGCCUGGUGUG